This 455-nucleotide ribosomal RNA is filed under the name uncultured bacterium. RNAcentral describes it as "bacterial SSU rRNA". It matches the Rfam family "Bacterial small subunit ribosomal RNA", at positions 339 to 786 of the family's 1533-position model. The record is from RNAcentral.
UUACGGGAGGCAGCAGGUGGGGAAUAUUGCACAAUGGGCGCAAGCCUGAUGCAGCCAUGCCGCGUGUAUGAAGAAGGCCUUCGGGUUGUAAAGUACUUUCAGUCGUGAGGAAGGUGUUAAGGUUAAUAACCUUAGCAAUUGACGUUAGCGACAGAAGAAGCACCGGCUAACUCCGUGCCAGCAGCCGCGGUAAUACGGAGGGUGCGAGCGUUAAUCGGAAUUACUGGGCGUAAAGGGCACGCAGGCGGUUAAUUAAGUUGGAUGUGAAAUCCCCGGGCUUAACCUGGGAAUGGCAUUCAAGACUGGUUAGCUAGAGUCUUGUAGAGGGGGUAGAAUUCCAUGUGUAGCGGUGAAAUGCGUAGAGAUGUGGAGGAAUACCGGUGGCGAAGGCGGCCCCUGGACAAAGACUGACGCUCAUGUGCGAAAGCGUGGGGAGCAAACAGGGAUUAGAUACC